Molecule: long non-coding RNA, 3214 nt
Filed under: Fragaria vesca (wild strawberry)
Lineage: Eukaryota; Viridiplantae; Streptophyta; Magnoliopsida; Rosales; Rosaceae
Description: long non-coding RNA (FVES_LNC002681)
Source: RNAcentral
GUUUAGCCGACGAAAAACAUGUCGUCGGUUUUUUUCCCAGACUUUAGCCGACGAAACAAUUAAGAUAUUCGUCGGCUAAAGUCUGUAAUAAAAAAAAUUUUCCAGACUAUAGCCGACGAAAUAUAGUAUGUUUCGUCGGCUAAACCUUAUAAAAAAAUUUAAAAAAAUAACUAUAGCCGACGAAAUAUAGUCUGUUUCGUCGGCUAAACCUUAUAAAAAAUUUUAAAAAAUAACUAUAGCCGACGAAAUAUGCCAUAAUUCGUCGGCUAAACCUUAUAAAAAAAUUUUAAAAAUAACUAUAGCCGACGAAAUAUGCCAUAAUUCGUCGGCUAAACCUUAUAAAAAAAAAUUUAAAAAUACUAUAGCCGACGAAUAAACCUUUAAAUAUCGUCGGCUAAACCUUUAAAUAUCGUCGGCUAAAGUUGCUGGUUUUUGAAAAAAAAAACUGCAGAAACUUUCGGCCACCUCCAAUCACCACCAAAAUUUGACAUAAUCUUCUUCUCAACAUUUCGAACAACUUUCUAGAAGAAGUCAAAGCCCAAUUCUAAGCCUAAAUAGGUCAAUUGAAUCAAAAUAUAAAAAUCCCCAAUUUUAAAUCCUAAAAACUUCAAAUCUUCGAUUCUCCUCACACACACCAAAUCGAGCUACCAAAUUCUAGGGGAAUGUAGUACUAAUCAAACUCAACUUAUCCAUAUAUAGAACUCACCAAAUGGUGACCUGAGGAAGGAGAAAUUCGAUCGACACCGAAUCCGAACCGGCGGAGUUUUGGAGCUCGAUUUAUCUCUCACGGCGGCGCCACUCGAUGCACCACCUAUCCAGCAAUGAAGUAGAGACAACGGCGAAACUUUUGGGACAAGUGUGGCGGUCUCCAGUGGCUUGACGGCGGAGCUAGGCCGAGAAGAAAAUCUGGCAUGCGAAAUAGACUUCUUACCAUCCACCUUCGGUAAUAUAAAGAACUUUAGCCGACGAAAAUAAAGCUCUUUUGAAAAUUUUGAAAAUUUUGGUUGACCGCCAAAAAAUUUUGGUUGAAAAUUUUGAAAAUUUUAGACUUUAGCCGACGACUUUUCAUAUAUUUUCGUCGGCUAAAGUCCUUUGAAAAUUUUCCUCCAAAUUUGGUUUACCGCCCAAAAAUUUUUGACCUUAGCCGACAACUUUUUUAAUAUCUCGUUGGCAAAAGUCUAUAAAUUCACGAAAACGCUCAUAUCUCCCUCUAUAUUACGUAGUUUGAUCAAACCUUCCACACGAAAAAUUUUCACGUAGAUGAGACGCAACCGCCUAUAUAAAAAUUUUGAGACAUUUGCCUUCCGACGAUAGGGCUCCCCAUAGGGAAUAAUAACGGUAAAUAGGGUUGACCGCUACUAUCGGCACCGAGACUUUACCCGAUUUACGUGAUUUUUGAACCAUAGCCGUAUUUCACCAUUCUAAACACAUCUUAUUUCACGAGAUUUUUGAUAAUUUUGCUUCCUAUAUAGAGUUGGUUUACAAAGUUGUAUAACCUACCAAACAAGUUAUACAACAUUAGUAGACACGUUGUGAUUCCGAUGACUAAAAUUCACAAACCAAAAUUCGACCGUCAGAUAUGAUCAUUAUGACGAAAGAUGUCUAUGGUAAAAAAUUCAACUGNNNNNNNNNNNNNNNNNNNNCGAAAACGCUCAUAUCUCCCUCUAUAUUACGUGGUUUGGUCAAACCUUCCACACAAAAAACUCUCACGUAGAUGAGACGCAACUGCCCAUAUAAAAUUUUGAGACAUUUACCUUCCGACGAUAGGGCUCCCCAUAGGGAAUAAUAAUGGUAAAUAGUAGACACGUGAUUCCGAUGACUAAAAUUUACAAACCAAAAUUUGACCGUCCGAUAUGAUCAUUAUGACGAAAGAUGUCUAUGGUAAAAAAUUCAACUGGAUUCGACAACGUUAAGGGCUCGAUCGAAACGGUCAACUCUAAUCAGAAAUAAGAAAACUGCAUUUUGAAGCCCUAAACGGACUCGGAUGGCCAAAAAGGCCCAUACAUCAUGGCAUUAGUAAUGAGUUUGACUCGUAGGGCCGUUACGCUUCCGAAAAGGUAUCACAAUAGUCAAUCGGACACCAAAAACCAAAUCUGCAGCAUAGUGAAUAAUAAGGGUAAAUUGCAUUGACCGCAACUAUCGGCACCGAGACUUUACCAGAAUACCGUGAUUUUUCAACCGUAGACGUAUUUCACCAUUCUGGUCAUAUCUUAUUUCACGAUUUUUUUGCGUUUGAAGGUUCUACGUAUAAUUUUUUUUUUUCCAGAUGAGUUAUUGUCCAGAUCUGCAAAUAUAAGGCACUUUAGCCGACGAAAUUAUAUUUUUCGUCGGCUAAACUUUUAAAAAUUUCGUCGGCUAAAGUUCACAGACUAUAGCCGACGAAAAAAAUUAUUCAGACGACAAAAUUUUAAUUUCGUCGGCUAAAGUUGACCAUAGCCGACGAAAAUUUUUAAGCCGACGAAAAAAUAAUUCGUCGGCCUGGUUUUUUAUUUUCGUCGGCUAAAGUCUUUCUUCUGGUAGUGUCUGGUUGUGUUCUAGGGUGGCAGAAAUGGUAAAACGCCGUCGCUAGCAAUGGCCAGUCAGUUCUCAAUUUCUUAGAGCCGGUGUUCAUUCUCACAGAUCAAUCAGAGCUUUCAUUACUCAUUCAGUUGUUCUUCCUGGCUAAAUUAUCAGGUACUUAUUUUCACAACUCUAUGGAGUCAAUGGAGAAAUAAGUUUGUAACAGAAAAUUCCUUAAGCUUGUUACUUUAUUACUGUGACAUGAAAGGCAUAGAUACUUUAUUUGGUUACUAAAACACAAUGUUGUAUAAAAUAAUACAAAGUCACCAUGGAUUGAGUAAGUUUCUAAUGAAGCAUAUUGGUACAGGAUUUGCAUGGUGUCACAGGUCGAAGCAAGAAGGCUUAAAAAAGAUAGGAUCAGUGCAUUACUUAAAAAAGAUAGGAUCAGUGCAUUACCAAAUGCAGUUCUUAAUCACAUCCUUUCGUUCCUUAAAACCGAACAUGUUGUGAUGACCAUCUUUUUGUCUAAAAGAUGGAAGAACAUUUGGGCCUCUGUUCCUACUCUAGACUUCUGCGACCAAGAGUACCCUGAAAGUAUUCCUCAUUCGAGGUUUAUAGAUAAUGUACUAUUCUUCCGUGACUCAACAAACAUUCAUAAGUUUCGUCUCCAUUGCAUUCAUGUUAAGGAUUUUGAUCGUGUUUGUAGUUGGAUUGG